This 292-nucleotide unclassified non-coding RNA is filed under the name Hevea brasiliensis (rubber tree). Lineage: Eukaryota; Viridiplantae; Streptophyta; Magnoliopsida; Malpighiales; Euphorbiaceae. The record is from RNAcentral.
GUGCCAUAUUAAAAGAAGGAGAGCUAGUGGAUGCAUAUCGAUUUCUUCACAAGGACACGGACAUGGAAUGUGGCUUCUCGUGGUCGGGAAAUCCUGUUGGGAAGUAUCGCGGGAAAAGGAUGAGAAUAGAUUACUUUGUUGUAUCUGAUAAAAUGAAAGACAGGAUUGUUUCAUGCGAGAUGCAUGGACGAGGGAUCGAAUUGGAUGGUUUCUAUGGGAGUGACCAUUGUCCAGUAUCACUUGAACUCUCUGUGAAGGAUGAUGCAGAUACCAAACAAGGUUGAAAUGAUUG